Molecule: transfer RNA, 73 nt
Filed under: Perca fluviatilis (European perch)
Lineage: Eukaryota; Metazoa; Chordata; Actinopteri; Perciformes; Percidae
Also listed under: 8 other names
Rfam family: tRNA
About the family: Transfer RNA (tRNA) molecules are approximately 80 nucleotides in length. Their secondary structure includes four short double-helical elements and three loops (D, anti-codon, and T loops). Further hydrogen bonds mediate the characteristic L-shaped molecular structure. tRNAs have two regions of fundamental functional importance: the anti-codon, which is responsible for specific mRNA codon recognition, and the 3' end, to which the tRNAs corresponding amino acid is attached (by aminoacyl-tRNA synthetases). tRNAs cope with the degeneracy of the genetic code in two manners: having more than one tRNA (with a specific anti-codon) for a particular amino acid; and 'wobble' base-pairing, i.e. permitting non-standard base-pairing at the 3rd anti-codon position.
Source: Rfam by way of RNAcentral
GGUUCCAUAGUGUAGUGGUUAUCACGUCUGCUUUACACGCAGAAGGUCCUGGGUUCAAUCCCCAGUGGAACCA